This 422-nucleotide ribosomal RNA is filed under the name uncultured bacterium. Its description in RNAcentral is "partial 16S ribosomal RNA". It matches the Rfam family "Bacterial small subunit ribosomal RNA", at positions 355 to 774 of the family's 1533-position model. The record is from RNAcentral.
UGAGGAAUAUUGGACAAUGGGUGAGAGCCUGAUCCAGCCAUCCCGCGUGAAGGAUGACGGUCCUAUGGAUUGUAAACUUCUUUUGUACAGGGAUAAACCUACUCUCGUGAGGGUAGCUGAAGGUACUGUACGAAUAAGCACCGGCUAACUCCGUGCCAGCAGCCGCGGUAAUACGGAGGGUGCAAGCGUUAUCCGGAUGUAUUGGGUUUAAAGGGUCCGUAGGCGGACUUGUAAGUCAGUGGUGAAAUCUCAUAGCUUAACUAUGAAACUGCCAUUGAUACUGCAGGUCUUGAGUAAAUUUGAAGUGGCUGGAAUAAGUAGUGUAGCGGUGAAAUGCAUAGAUAUUACUUAGAACACCAAUUGCGAAGGCAGGUCACUAAGAUUUAACUGACGCUGAUGGACGAAAGCGUGGGGAGCGAACA